RNAcentral lists this transfer RNA (73 nucleotides) under Dipodomys ordii (Ord's kangaroo rat). It matches the Rfam family "tRNA". Rfam says of the family: Transfer RNA (tRNA) molecules are approximately 80 nucleotides in length. The record is from Rfam by way of RNAcentral. Lineage: Eukaryota; Metazoa; Chordata; Mammalia; Rodentia; Heteromyidae.
GAGGGCAUGGCUAAAGUGGCAGAGCACUUGCCUAGCAAGCAAGAGGCCCUGAGUUCAAAUUCCAGUACUGUUA